This 1366-nucleotide ribosomal RNA is filed under the name Conus trochulus. Its description in RNAcentral is "16S ribosomal RNA". It matches the Rfam family "Bacterial large subunit ribosomal RNA", at positions 164 to 2748 of the family's 2925-position model. Lineage: Eukaryota; Metazoa; Mollusca; Gastropoda; Neogastropoda; Conidae. The record is from RNAcentral.
AGAUUAAUGCUGGCAGUUAAUGAGUUAAAUGUUUAUAGUAAAGACAAAACAUUAUUAAAUUUAGUAAAGGUGAUCGAAAUUUAAUAAAUCCUCUGCAUGAAUGUAGUACUGUGAAGGAAAUUAAAAAAACUAAGAAUUAGAAAUAAUUAAAAUGUGUACCUUUUGCAUCAUGGCUUAACUAGAUUUAAACCUAGAUAGGAAGUCUCGAAAUCUAGGUGAGCUAUUCUUAUUCUGCUUUAUAGACUAAUGGUGAGUUGGUUGUGGCAAAAACUUCUCUAGAAAUAAGAAUAGAUAUGAAAUUUUAUUCGCAUUAGGUGAUAGCUAGUUCUUCUUUAAAGGCAUAUUAGUGCCCUGAGCUAUAGGUCUAAUAGCAUAAAUAGAAGUUUGUGUUAUGUAUACUGGCUUCGUUAGAUUUUCAAGGAUAAGCUUGGAAAUAAUUUAAAAUUGCAUUCAAUUUUUUUUGAAAUAUAAGCUUAGUAAUGGCUAUUAACAUGGGAUUUUGUUAUAAUUCAUUUUUUAGUUAUUAAUAUAAUUUAUUUGCUUAAUUAGUAGUAAAGAAGGAAUUUUAAUGAUCUUAUUAUAAAGUGUUUUUAUGUUAAGAUGAGUAUUAAGUUAUUUAUUAGUUAAACUAAGAAAUUAAAAUUUAGUAUUAUAUAAAAUAUUUUAAAACGAAAUCGUGAAAAGGAACUCGGCAAAACCAUAUUCUGCCUGUUUAUCAAAAACAUGGCUUCGUGUUAAAAUUAAAAUACGAAGUCGGACCUGCCCAGUGAGUUUUAAACGGCCGCGGUACUCUGACCGUGCAAAGGUAGCAUAAUCACUUGCCUUAUAAUUGAAGGCUGGAAUGAAUGGUUUGACAAGAAUAUAUCUGUCUCUUUUAGAUUAUUUAGAAUUUUAUUUUUGGGUGAAAAAGUCCAGAUAUAAUUAAAAGACAAGAAGACCCUAUCGAGCUUUAGAAAAGUUAAUAGAUUUAAUAUAAACCAAUAUAAUUAAAAGAAGAGCUAUUAAAUAUUUUGGUUGGGGCAACCAAGGAGCAAAUAAAACCUCCUUUAAACUAUAAAUCUUACUUGUGUUGAUCCAAGAAUAUUGAUUAAAGGAAUUAGUUACCGUAGGGAUAACAGCAUAAUCUUUUUCAAGAGCCCAUAUCGAAAAAAAGGUUUGUGACCUCGAUGUUGGACCAGAAUGUCCUAAAGAUGCAGAAGUCUUUAAGGGUUGGUCUGUUCGACCAUUAAAAUUCUACGUGAUCUGAGUUCAGACCGGCGUGAGCCAGGUCAGUUUCUAUCUUUAUAUUUUUUGGUUAUGUUUAGUACGAAAGGACCGAUGUAACGUAUGAAAUACUUUAAUCAGAUCAAAUAUAAUUUAACUUUAA